Small nucleolar RNA from Tachyglossus aculeatus (Australian echidna), 136 nucleotides. The record is from RefSeq and is a predicted model, not a curated record. NCBI's taxonomy places the organism in Eukaryota, Metazoa, Chordata, Mammalia, Monotremata, Tachyglossidae.
CCCCUCUCAAGAUCGCACCUAGAAAGCUCCCUGCUUUACCAGUCUCAGCUAUGGGAGGGAGAGGCAAGCAGAGGCCUACCCAUUCCAUUCCUAGCUUGAGCAGUGGCUAGUGAGUGGAAGGCAAUCUGCUACAAGU